GGGGUUGUGGCUCAGUGGUAGAGUGCUAGCCUAGCACAUGCACAUGCAAGGCGCUGAGUUCGAUCCUCAGUACCA
This 75-nucleotide transfer RNA is filed under the name Marmota monax (woodchuck). Its description in RNAcentral is "tRNA.Ala". The record is from RNAcentral. Lineage: Eukaryota; Metazoa; Chordata; Mammalia; Rodentia; Sciuridae.